RNAcentral lists this ribosomal RNA (249 nucleotides) under uncultured bacterium. RNAcentral's name for it is "partial 16S ribosomal RNA". It matches the Rfam family "Bacterial small subunit ribosomal RNA", at positions 90 to 339 of the family's 1533-position model. The record is from RNAcentral.
GACGAGUGGCGCACGGGUGCGUAACGCGUUUGCAAUCUACCUUUAACCGGUGAAUAGCCCGAAGAAAUUCGGAUUAAUACACCAUAGUAUAGUUGAAUGGCAUCAUUCGACUAUUAAAACUCCGGUGGUUAGAGAUGAGCAUGCGUGACAUUAGCUAGUUGGUGAGGUAAUGGCUCACCAAGGCUACGAUGUCUAGGGGAUCUGAGAGGAUUAACCCCCACACUGGUACUGAGACACGGACCAGACUCC